This is a long non-coding RNA of Drosophila yakuba, 1188 nucleotides long. RefSeq lists it as uncharacterized. The transcript has 2 exons. NCBI's taxonomy places the organism in Eukaryota, Metazoa, Arthropoda, Insecta, Diptera, Drosophilidae. The record is from RefSeq and is a predicted model, not a curated record.
AAAAAAUAGAGAGAGAGAGGGAGAAAUAAAAGCAAACAGCUAGUAACAAAUGAAUUAGCCAUAUCUAUGCGCCUGGCCAUAUAAGCCCACGAGUGUGAGUGACGGCGUGAUAACGCGUUAUUACACUAUAAAAUCAUUAAUAUGGCGGCUCUAAUGUCGAGGAUAUGUAAAUGCAGGCGCUGUCACGCGAAACGCUUAUAAAAAAAAACGCAAAAAAAAAAAGCAUAGACAACGAGCCCUGAAAUGCGGCAUUAGCUGCCUAUAGACUAUAGAGAACCAUUGACAACGCCUACCAUUUGAGCCCAUUACCCAACACUUUGGCCAUAAAGUCGAGUGUGUGCCCCAGUGCGCCGCCAAGGCAACGAAAUCUAUUAGUUUGCCAAGGCUUGGCGGGAAUUCCAGUAGAACACGAAGAAGAGGUGGAAGAGCUGCGACAAUUCCGUAAAUUUGAUAUGCGCAAUUUGUUGCGAGGACGAAGGACUAAGAACUCAGAACGAAGGACGAAGGACGAGGGAGCUUGGCAACCUGUUGCCGCUUGUUACGCACUUUUAUGACGCCAGCGGGUGGGCUUCGAGUGGAUUGCGUGUGUGUGUCUCAGCCCAACCCGGUAAAAACAACCUCAAAGUAGUCCCCAUUAAAGGUAAUAUGCCACAUGAGUCGCUGAUGGAACGCACUCACAUGUUUUCUGCGGAUUGCCAUAACAUAUUCAAAGGGGAGACAUAUUCGCAAGGACCUGACUUUCCUCGGACUCAGUAACGGCCCCACACAAUAAGCAUUCUGGCCCAGUUACUUGCGCUCGCCUUUAUUUCCUGCGGCUUCCCCUUUUGCAGCCUUGAGGGUAAUCGCUGCCCAUAAGCAGGCACAAAGUUUAAUAAAAAAAUGUAGAACAAAAACGAAUUCAAUUCACCUAGCCAAGCAAUUAUGCCGCAGCAAAGUUGAAAAAGUAAAAAACUUAUUCAAAUGGCUCUCAAUUAAGUUAAGUUUCGGCUACGGCAAAGCUAUGUAGCUGAACGGAGAAACAAGUUUGAGGAACAAAUGUCCAAACUGAUGAAAGUUCAUAUAAAAUGUUGGCUAUAAAAGCAAAUACUGAUCUAUCUACAUACAACUAGAAACUAUGUAUGAUAUAUUUUUAAAAUUUUUAUGGUUCUCAUGUAAACAUUUUUGAGAAAUAUACAAAACCAGGACAAA